GCUGUCUGUGCUGGUGGCCGCAGGGGGAGCUGUGAUGGCAGCCACAGGGGGAGCUCUGAUGGCGGCCGAAGGGGGAGCUCCGAUGGCGGCUGCAGGGGGAGCUGGCUGUGCUGUUUCUGUUUCCGCGUGCUAUUUAAUGAGACCGGGGCUGGAAUAUGACAUCAUAUUCUGGCCCCGGUCUCAUUAAACUGCGCGCUGGGGAGCAGAGACAGUGCAGCCAGCUCCCCUUGCGGCCGCCAUCACAGCUCCCCCUGCGGCCGCCAUCACAGCUCCCCCU
Pelobates cultripes (western spadefoot toad) is the source of this 277-nucleotide non-coding RNA. Lineage: Eukaryota; Metazoa; Chordata; Amphibia; Anura; Pelobatidae. The record is from the annotation of a GenBank genome assembly.